Molecule: unclassified non-coding RNA, 331 nt
Filed under: soil metagenome
Description: partial contains 5.8S ribosomal RNA, internal transcribed spacer 2, and large subunit ribosomal RNA
Rfam family: 5.8S ribosomal RNA (bases 1-120)
Source: RNAcentral
GAUGAAGAACGCAGCGAAAUGCGAUACGUAAUGUGAAUUGCAGAUUUCAGUGAAUCAUCGAAUCUUUGAACGCACAUUGCGCCCGCUAGUAUUCUGGCGGGCAUGCCUGUUCGAGCGUCAUUUCAACCAUCAAGCCCUAGGCUUGCGUUGGAGCCCUGCGGCUGCCGCAGGCUCCCAAAUCCAGUGGCGGGCUCGUCGUCGUACCGAGUGCAGUAAACAUCCUCGCUCAGGGAACGUGACGGGUUCUUGCCGUGAAACCCCCCACAUAUCAAGGUUGACCUCGGAUCAGGUAGGAAUACCCGCUGAACUUAAGCAUAUCAAUAAGCGGAGG